GCCCUCAUAGUUCAAUGGAUAGAACACAAGCCUUCUAAGCUUGUUAUGUAGGUUCGAUUCCUGCUGAGGGUA
RNAcentral lists this transfer RNA (72 nucleotides) under Candidatus Moraniibacteriota bacterium. RNAcentral's name for it is "tRNA-Arg". It matches the Rfam family "tRNA". Rfam says of the family: Transfer RNA (tRNA) molecules are approximately 80 nucleotides in length. Their secondary structure includes four short double-helical elements and three loops (D, anti-codon, and T loops). Further hydrogen bonds mediate the characteristic L-shaped molecular structure. tRNAs have two regions of fundamental functional importance: the anti-codon, which is responsible for specific mRNA codon recognition, and the 3' end, to which the tRNAs corresponding amino acid is attached (by aminoacyl-tRNA synthetases). tRNAs cope with the degeneracy of the genetic code in two manners: having more than one tRNA (with a specific anti-codon) for a particular amino acid; and 'wobble' base-pairing, i.e. permitting non-standard base-pairing at the 3rd anti-codon position. The record is from RNAcentral. Lineage: Bacteria; Candidatus Moraniibacteriota.